GUAGGUGGCAAGCGUUGUCCGGAAUUACUGGGCGUAAAGCGCGCGCAGGCGGUUCUUUAAGUCUGAUGUGAAAGCCCACGGGCUCAACCGUGGAGGGUCAUUGGAAACUGGAGAACUUGAGUACAGAAGAGGAAAGCGGAAUUCCACGUGUAGCGGUGAAAUGCGUAGAGAUGUGGAGGAACACCAGUGGCGAAGGCGGCUUUCUGGUCUGUAACUGACGCUGAGGCGCGAAAGCGUGGGGAGCAAACAGGAUUAGAUACCCUGGUAGUCCACGCCGUAAACGAUGAGUGCUAAGUGUUAGGGGGUUUCCGCCCCUUAGUGCUGCAGCUAACGCAUUAAGCACUCCGCCUGGGGAGUACGGCCGCAAGGCUG
Molecule: ribosomal RNA, 372 nt
Filed under: uncultured organism
Description: partial 16S ribosomal RNA
Rfam family: Bacterial small subunit ribosomal RNA
Source: RNAcentral